RNAcentral lists this ribosomal RNA (621 nucleotides) under uncultured Acinetobacter sp. RNAcentral's name for it is "bacterial SSU rRNA". It matches the Rfam family "Bacterial small subunit ribosomal RNA", at positions 26 to 651 of the family's 1533-position model. Lineage: Bacteria; Pseudomonadati; Pseudomonadota; Gammaproteobacteria; Moraxellales; Moraxellaceae. The record is from RNAcentral.
CGUGAACGCUGGCGGCAGGCCUACACAUACAAGUCGAGCGGGGGAAGGCUACUGCUACUGGACCUAGCGGCGGACGGGUGAGUAAUGCUUAGGAAUCUGCCUAUUAGUGGGGGACAACAUCUCGAAAGGGAUGCUAAUACCGCAUACGUCCUACGGGAGAAAGCAGGGGAUCUUCGGACCUUGCGCUAAUAGAUGAGCCUAAGUCGGAUUAGCUAGUUGGCGGGGUAAAGGCCUACCAAGGCGACGAUCUGUAGCGGGUCUGAGAGGAUGAUCCGCCACACUGGGACUGAGACACGGCCCAGACUCCUACGGGAGGCAGCAGUGGGGAAUAUUGGACAAUGGGCGCAAGCCUGAUCCAGCCAUGCCGCGUGUGUGAAGAAGGCCUUAUGGUUGUAAAGCACUUUAAGCGAGGAGGAGGCUACUUUAGAUAAUACUAGAGAUAGUGGACGUUACUCGCAGAAUAAGCACCGGCUAACUCUGUGCCAACAGCCGAGGUAAAUACAGAGGGUGGCAGCUUAAUCGGGAUUUACUGGGCGUAAAGAGCAGCUUAGCGGGUUAUUAAGCCAUUGUGAAUCCCAACUUAUUGGAAUAGGAUCAUAUGGUACUAAAUGUGGAAGAGGU